Molecule: ribosomal RNA, 253 nt
Filed under: uncultured bacterium
Lineage: Bacteria
Description: partial 16S ribosomal RNA
Rfam family: Bacterial small subunit ribosomal RNA
Source: RNAcentral
AACGUAGGUGACAAACGUUAUCCGGAGUUACUGGGCGUAAAGGGCGUGUAGGCGGUUAGUUAAGUCUGGCGUGAAAGCUCUCGGCUAAACCGGGAGAGGUCGUUGGAUACUGGCAAACUUGAGGACGGUAGAGGCGUGUGGAAUUCCGGGUGUAGUGGUGAAAUGCGUAGAGAUCCGGAGGAACACCAGUGGCGAAGGCGACACGCUGGGCCGUACCUGACGCUAAAGCGCGACAGCAUGGGGAGCAAACGGG